AAAUACAGCGAGACAAGCCGGUGUCACAAGAAGAACGCGAUUCACCCUGCAUCGUUGUAGUGUGCCUAGAUUGUUUGUUUUACCUGCCUGACAGGAGUUACGAGAAGACUGGCAACAACAGUGGAGACAAUAGAAGGCGUGAAUUUGCCUGUCAGCUAAAGCCUUCAUAUUAACUGCAUUUUCCUGGAGAACCAGACACAUGUUUUGUUAAACCUAGCAAUGGAAUGCAAACUUAUUGAUAAGCAUGGAUGGACAUCUCGCGAGAGGGGCGACGAGAAACAAGAGACCAAGAAACUGACCAACUGUGUAUAACAUUCCAUUCACGUGAAUACUUCAUAUAAAGUGGGAGAUCACGAGGAUCUCGUCGCUUUUCCCCUUUUUGCCUUUUUCACUUCUGCUUAUGGCCGACAUUAGAAGAGGACCUUGCUAGUCGUCCCUGCGAACUGAGGCCUAGUGAGAGACUGAAUCCAGCUCCGAUUGGCUGCAGAGUCUAAUCCAGGACUUCAGAGUGGCAUAUGCUCCAGCCUCAUGAUCACCUUGGCAGCCUGGACCUGCUCCACUAUGUCAAUGGCUUUCUUGUAGUAGAGAGCCCAAAAUGGGACACACUACUCCACAUGAAGUCUCACAAAUGCUGAAUACAGAAGGAUCACUUUCCUGGACCUGCCUGAUACUUUCUAAUAGAGCCUGUCAUCAGAAACACCUCCCCAACGGUUAUGACCUUUCCAAUAUGAGAGAGUGUCCCUGCAAUGACAUCAAGCCAACUCAGCACCCUCAGCUGCAUCUUGUGGAACUACAGUGGGUCCAUGGAUUCCCUGAUAGAGAGCAUGGGAACAGAAAUUAGCCUUGAAGAUAUUAAGGCCUAUCCGUGAGAAAGAUGGGAGUAAAGGAGUAUCUGGAGAUGUUAAGGAUGUACCUGUGAGAGAGAAGGGAGUAGAAGAGUAACACUACUGAUAGCAAAAAUAGCCAAUGAGAUGUUACUGCUGUAACUUGUAACCAAUAGUGAAGAGACACAGGAAUUGGUAAAACUGUAUAAAAAUGCACUUGUGGCAAUAAAUGGCAUCUACUUUCAUCCUGGAAGAA
Columba livia (rock pigeon) is the source of this 1080-nucleotide long non-coding RNA. RefSeq lists it as uncharacterized. Lineage: Eukaryota; Metazoa; Chordata; Aves; Columbiformes; Columbidae. The transcript has 4 exons. The record is from RefSeq and is a predicted model, not a curated record.